UGUCAGCUCCGGGGAUUUCCUGGAUUCCCCGUUUAACACUGCAGCGCCACUGUCUCUGGCUCACACUCCGGUCGAAUUCCCUUCUCUGCUUCAUCAUUCUCUGCAGCGCUGGUCACUAGCUGGGACUUGGAGGGGCAUGCCAGUCAACCUCUGUCCCGUGGAGGUAGGCUCUGGGACAGCCUGACUCCCUGCAUAUGGAGCUACAGGGUUUCUCUGGGGUCAGCAUGGAGGCUAAUUGUUACCUACUCAUAAGAAGCAGGGAGGACAGAAGAUGGGCGGAGACAGCUCUCAGUCUCAUUCUGAGGAUCCCUGGAGGCAGGAUCAUCAUAUUGGACUGAGGUAGAGAUCAGUGCAACACUCAACCUUGAUGAAAAGAACUUUUUACAGUGGAUAGUGGUCAAUACAGAGUCUCAUAACUAACUCAUCAAGGGCUGAGAACAAGUGACGGCUGAGGGCUCAGACCAAAGCAGAACAUCGUACCAACUCCAUCCAAGGCCCGGGGAACACAGAAGAAAGGGCAGAACACAAGAACUGGAGAAUGGUGGAGGAGCUGUGAAAUUCUGUCUUCUGGACAUGAUGAGGCUGUAGGACUCGUGGAUUCAUGGGAACUGUAGUCGUGCGCACAAGACCUGCAUGAGGUCAAGCCAACCGGCAUUCCAGUGUGGAUCAGGGAAGGGCUCAUGAGUCUCCCCGCCCCAGUAGGAGAGCUGUUAGCAAUUGACAGCUGCUGGGGGAGAGAGAGCUUGUUUUCCUCGGGGGUGUUGCCUGUAUGAUUGUAGGCAGCACUAACUGAACUCCUUGGGUUAUUAAAACAAAAAAACAAACAAGCAAACAAACAACAAAACAGAAGAGGACACCAUUGGGAGGAUCUAAGGGAGCAGGAGGGUGACUUAGGCUGGAUAUGAUCAAGUAUAUAUGAUACAUACAUAGCAGAAUUGUCAAAGGCUGAGUUAGAAUUUUCUUUUAAAGUCAGGAUAAUCAUGCAGAUUCCUCAAGCGCUCGUCACACUUAGUUCUUCUCAGUGGUGAAGACUCAACAUCUUUUCGUUUAGCAUUUGAAGUGCACAGGACAGCACUGCCAUGUGUAGUCCCCUGCUGGGCAGUCGCAGUUCAGAACUGCGCUCUGGUCUUGCUAUAACUCUGUGCUCCACCCCAACUCCACCUGAAUUUAGCAACCACUGUCCAGAUCUCAGCGCCUUCAGCACUAACUUCUUCAGAUUCCAGGGGCGAGGUGCCCAUCUUUCUGGGCCUGGAGGGUUUCAUGUACCUCGUUGCUGCCAGGUCCCUCCCAGUGGUAGAAGUGAUGAGAUUUCAUCUCUACUUUGAGUUCAUUCAUUGUCCUCUUCUAGAUGAGAGAAGAUGACAACAUGCCCCGUCUGAAGUAAAGAGCUACCCCAAAGCCCAGACUGCGGGAUGCACAGUGGUCCACCCUGCCCCCUGCUGGCUCACCACCCUUGGCCGGGGGAACUUCCACUGCUCCUCUAGGGUCUUGCAUAUUUGCCUUGAAUUUUGCUUAUGAAGGUGGAAACCCCCGUGUGAGGCACUGUCUUGUCCUAGUGAGCUUCCUUUUCCUGUUACGGAACAAGUCUGGGCUACACAGCUGUGGGUGUCGUCAGACACAGGGAUGGGGAACUUGAGAUUUGUGCAGACCGCUGUCUGGAAUACGUAUUGAAGUCUCUAGGCUGGGGAGAUGCUCAGUCAGAAGGCGCUGGCCAUGCAAGCAUCAGGUCUUAACUUCAAGUCCCAGAACACAUGUAAAGGCUAGGUGUGGUGGGAAGUACCUAUAGUCCCAUAGUUGGAGAGGCGCAGACAGGCAGAUGCCUGAGGCAUAAUGUUCAAAUCAGGAUAACUUGCUUGGCAGCCCAUCUAAGCAAACUAAUUAGCUCCAAGUCAGUGAGAUAUCCUGUCUCAAACAAAAAGGAGAGAGAUUGGAGAAGACUCCUGACCUCUGCCUUUGGCCUGCACACUUAUUUAUACACAUACAGGCAUGCACAUGCACAUGCUCACGCACACACACACACACACACACACACACACACACACUCAUGAACAUGUACAUGUAUAUAUCAAAAUGUCCAAGUCUUGGGAAUGACAGUCUUGCUGAGGUCUUUAGGGGGAGUAGGGAAGCGUCUACAAUAUUUUUUGGUGGGGCAUCAGAAGCCAAAAUGGACGAAGGGGCAACACAGCUGGAGAGACUCACGAUAAAGCAUGCUGGAUGAGGUGCUCAUGAUAGUCAUCAUAUCCUUGCUGAAUAUCACAGAACGCUGUGGGAGAAGUGUGGGAAAGGGAAACCUCGCGCUUCUGGGAGGAGACUGGGGACCACACGCUCAGAGGGAGUGGUAGUGACUGUCUAAGGUGGUGAUGCUGGAGCGAUAUGUUUAGAUCAGUCGCUUCUGUUGUCUCCUCCUCUUCCUCCUUCUCCCCUUCUUCUAAAGCAAGUGCAUUGAUAAUAAGCCACACCCACAGCUCCGCCUUCAGUUUUUAGUGCAGCGGUUCUUGACCUUCCUAAUGCUGCGGCCCUUUAAUGCAGUUCCUCAUGCUGUAGUGACCCCAACCAUAAACUUAUUUUCAUCACUACUCCAUAAGGGCAAUUUUGCUCCUGUUAUGAAUCAUAAUGUGAACAUCUGUGCUUUUUGAUGGUCUUAGGUGACUCCUGUAUAAGGGUCAUUUGUCCCCCUAGGAUUGCCACCUGCAGGUUGAGAAGCACUGUUUCAAGACAGUACCUCACUUAGUCGCCCAGGAUGGCUUCUCCCUGUGGCUGGGACUACAACCUGGCCUUUUGUCACCACUUGUGACGUGGGCGCUAUGGUUGACAGAGCACAGUCUCCCAAUUUUCGUACCUGUGUUGGGAAUGGCAGGCGCUUUGAAAAGCCCUAUUAUAUUUCUGAUACUUACAGGUCUUUUUCUCUUAGAAUUUGGGGCUGUGUAUUACACAUCCAUUUAGUCACCCUUCUUUCCUUUCCUCCUGCCCUCUCCUUGUUUCCCUCCCUACCUCUGUUCUUCCUUUCAUUUUCCCCAGUAACUCUGCUCAGCACACGUUAUAAUUAGUUAAUAGAAGACUCAGGGUAAAGUAGGGGCCGGAGAGAUGGUUCAGGGAUUAAGAGCUCUCCCAGAGGAUCUGGGUUCAAGUCCCAGCACCACGUAGCAGUUUCUAACUUUGCUGGCCUCUGUGAGUACUGCAGGCGUGUGGUGUGCAGACACACAAGCAGAAAACAACACUCAAACACAUAAAAAUGAAAAAAAAUAAAUCUCAAAGACAAGUAAAGUGUGUGUAGCCUUUUCCAUGUUGAUCAUAACACAUUAAAAAGCUAUCAUUUAAAAUAAUAAAAUAAAGGUCACUGACUAAACCCCCAUGCAUCUAGGUGUAGUUGAAGGUCAACGAUUCUUUUCAAUGGAAGUUUAUCCUGUGCAAUAUUAGGACUUACUCAUAUUAAAGUUUUGUUUUUCUGAUA
This is a long non-coding RNA of Myodes glareolus (Bank vole), 3451 nucleotides long. RefSeq lists it as uncharacterized. Lineage: Eukaryota; Metazoa; Chordata; Mammalia; Rodentia; Cricetidae. The record is from RefSeq and is a predicted model, not a curated record.